Molecule: ribosomal RNA, 253 nt
Filed under: uncultured bacterium
Lineage: Bacteria
Description: partial 16S ribosomal RNA
Rfam family: Bacterial small subunit ribosomal RNA
Source: RNAcentral
UACGUAGGGGGCAAGCGUUGUCCGGAUUUAUUGGGCGUAAAGCGCGUGUAGGCGGCCAUGUAGGUCUGACGUGAAAUUCCGAGGCUCAACCUCGGCAGGUCGUUGGAAACCAUAUGGCUAGAGUGCGGUAGAGGGUGGUGGAAUUCCCGGUGUAGCAGUGAAAUGCGUAGAGAUCGGGAGGAACAUCAGUUGCGAAGGCGGCCACCUGGACCAGCACUGACACUGAGGCACGGAAGCGUGGGGAGCAAACAGG